GGCCCUCUUUCUGUCUUUUUGAUGCUCCUCUUCACCUUUCUGUUUCUCUGGCGUCUCACCGAUCACAGGCUCUUUCAUCUCCUGGUUAUAACAAGAAUGCAGUCAGCACGUGCUGAUUAAACUCUUAAACUAAAAGGGAUUUUCACCUUGCUGCUCCAUGCUGUGUGUUUGUGUUUCAAACAGGCACAUUACAAUCACCUCCAUGAAUGGCUGAACCACAAAUGGGAUUUCAUUGUGAUGCAAGCAGCUGAACAGUAUAAGGCUGGCAAAGAGAGGAAGAAGCCAGAUCGCGUGGUGUUUGACUGCCAGGAGAGGGCGUACUGGAUGGUGAACAGGCCUCCGCGUUGUGCUCACAGUGCCAUGGACUGUGGUCCAGAGAGGCUCAUUGACCCAAACACAGAUGAGGUGAAAGGUCAGUAAACAUAGAAACCCACAAACAGGUGUGGAGCCACGACAGUGUUACAUGAUUACAUGAACUUAAAAUCCUUUUUCUGGAGACGCAGUCUGACCUUAUAAAGCGCUGUAUGAGUGAAAAAUGGCUUGUAAAUGCCAUUUAAAUACCAUGAUACUGUAAAUACUCUAAAUACUGUAAAUACCCAUUUAAAUACCAUGAUACUGUAAAU
Long non-coding RNA from Haplochromis burtoni (Burton's mouthbrooder), 623 nucleotides. RefSeq lists it as uncharacterized. Lineage: Eukaryota; Metazoa; Chordata; Actinopteri; Cichliformes; Cichlidae. The record is from RefSeq and is a predicted model, not a curated record. The transcript is spliced from 3 exons.